Molecule: long non-coding RNA, 539 nt
Filed under: Arabidopsis lyrata
Lineage: Eukaryota; Viridiplantae; Streptophyta; Magnoliopsida; Brassicales; Brassicaceae
Description: long non-coding RNA (ALYR_LNC000238)
Source: RNAcentral
ACUACUUUAGCUUGUGGGAUCCGGUGGCGGUUCUAGUUCUUAUACCAAAUCAUACACACGAGAUCUAGUCAUAUUUGACUCUAAAAACGCUAACCAAGCUUCUUAUUGCUUCUCAAAGCUUUGUGGGUGUGCCCAAAGUCCAAUGAGUUUUCAGUUUUGGAGCUUUUAAACGGAGAAAGACUACUUUAGCUUUUGGGAUCCAGUUGCGGUUCUGGUUCUUAUACCAAAUCAUACAAACGAGAUCUAGUCAUAUUUGACUCUAAAAAGGCUAACCAAGCUUCUUAUUGCUUCAUAAACCUUUGUGGGUGUGGCCAAAGUCCUAUGAGUUUUCAGUUUUGGAGCUUCUAAACAGAGAAACACUACUUUAGCUUGUGGGCUCCGGUGGCGGUUCUAGUUCUUAUACCAAAUCAUACACACGAGAUCUCGUCAUAUUUGACUCUAAAAACGCUAACCAAGCUUCUUAUUGCUUCUCAAAGCUUUGUGGGUGUGGCCAAAGUCCUAUGAGUUUUCAGUUUUGGAGCUUCUAAACAAAGAAACAC